Molecule: transfer RNA, 113 nt
Filed under: Podospora anserina S mat+
Lineage: Eukaryota; Fungi; Ascomycota; Sordariomycetes; Sordariales; Podosporaceae
Rfam family: tRNA
About the family: Transfer RNA (tRNA) molecules are approximately 80 nucleotides in length.
Source: Rfam by way of RNAcentral
GGUGAGAUGGCCGAGCGGUCCAAGGCGCCACGUUAAGGUCUUCCUUAAUCAAUAUCCCCUAACCCAGGAUUCCGUGGUCCGAAAGGGCGUGGGUUCGAAUCCCACUCUCAUCA